Long non-coding RNA from Bombyx mandarina (wild silkworm), 956 nucleotides. Lineage: Eukaryota; Metazoa; Arthropoda; Insecta; Lepidoptera; Bombycidae. The record is from RefSeq and is a predicted model, not a curated record.
UACUCUUACCGGCGUAACAAUAAUAUUCUGCACAGUAUCUGGUCACAUAAGAUAUAUGAGAAAUAAUAACAUAAAUUUUCUUUACCGACUACCAAGCAGGAUCGUCUGGUUGCCAAUGAUUUCAUACAAUGCCGCAAGAUUGCCGAACAUGUCGUGGAAAAAAUAGUGGGCGGUGGAGAUGUGAAUGGGGCCAGUGCGGGAAGCGGAAAGGGGAGUGCUAAUGAGGACAGCGGAAACGAUGGCUCCCCUGAGGAAAAAGUUGAGCUGCUGUGUUGCGAUCAGGUCCUGGACCCAAAUAUGGACCUAAGAACGGUCCGCCAUUUCAUUUGGAAGUCCAACGUGGAGUUCACGCUACACUAUCGUAUAUUAAAACAAUGAAAUACGCAUAACUUCAGCGAGUGCAGAACGCAACUAAAGAAGUGCCUAAUGUUUCGUUGUGUGCUUGAAUAAUGCGCGAAACGAGGUCGCUUUGUGGUCACACUGAAACGUCAAAUCUGUCAUCUGUCAACGUCAACGCUAGAAAUGUCAGUUGGCGAAACGUCAGAUUUCGUUGUGGUAAGGAUUUCUCCGGUGCUGCCAGACUUGGAGUUUUUUGUAUAAUCAUUGGAAACGGAAAUUUAUAAAAUAUUUGAUGCAUUGCGAAUAUUCUUAUUAGCUAAUUUAAAUGUUAAAAUAUAGCAAUAGGAUAAUAAAUCUUCAUCAAUGAAAUAGAGAAAAAAUAAAGACAUUUACGAGACUUCAUGACAUGUAUUUCUUCGAACUAGGUAUAAGAGGAAUAUUUCUGUUCUACCGUGAAAUCAUAUUAAAUCUGUCAUUGGUCAUCUGAUUGAAACGAAGUCAUAAUUAGUGAUUUUUAAUUAGCCCGCAAUAUUGCCAACAACAAUAUAAUGUAUGAUAAUUGACAAUCUACGUAGAAUAAUAAUUGAAAUAAUUUAAAUAAAGCAUGUAAAUGAUAA